RNAcentral lists this ribosomal RNA (253 nucleotides) under uncultured bacterium. RNAcentral describes it as "partial 16S ribosomal RNA". It matches the Rfam family "Bacterial small subunit ribosomal RNA", at positions 524 to 776 of the family's 1533-position model. The record is from RNAcentral.
UACGUAGGUGGCAAGCGUUGUCCGGAUUUACUGGGCGUAAAGAGCGCGCAGGCGGCCAAGUCAGUCGAAUGUGAAAGCCCCCGGCUCAACUGGGGAGGGUCAUUCGAUACUGCUCGGCUCGAAGACAGGAGAGGGAAGUGGAAUUCCCGGCGUAGUGGUGAAAUGCGUAGAUAUCUGGAGGAACACCGGUGGCGAAGGCGGCAUCCUGGACCGGCAUUGACGCUGAGGCGCGAAAGCCAGGGGAGCAAACGGG